CUGGAUGGUUCUUCAUGUCUACCUAAUGGCACAUGGACGUUUUGUGGUGAGGUGGGGUUUGACUUCUUUUCCCAGGCUCAGAGGACAACCAGGUUCCCACUUCAUCCUCAUAACCCAGUUUGUAAAGGGCCAUGAAGGUCUCAUGCUGCCAUCCCAGCUAAGACAUGGCAGAGAUGAAGAAGAAUGUGUUGGGUUAGGAUGUCGAGGACCACAUUGGUAGUCAAACUGGUGCACUUACUGGGCGUUUUGUUCCUCAAGAUGAGGUUUUGGAUCUAACACAAAUGGCCAAGAAGGAUUUCAGAGGGGAGUGUGUAUUUUUGUUGGACAUGGUGGAUAGUGAUCUCAGUGGAGCUUUUGCUGGAACCCUCCUGCUGCCUUAAUGCUGUUGGGUUUGUGGCAUCCCCAGCGCUGCAUGGGAGCUUUUAGACCUACCUGGAGCCUUGUGUUGAAGCUGACCUCGGCAGGCCUGGUUUCUGGGGAGAUACGAAGACGUGAAAUCACAAUGCUGAAUGGGGCUUUGUAACCACAAAGGAGACAAGGUGGAAAAGGCAGUGAGCAUGAGGUCUGCUCAUCAGGAAAGAGAAGGACCUUCCCGUUGAGGAUAAAGGAUGCCAAAAGAGGAGGAAAGACUGUUAAGCUGUAAAUGAAUAAGCAGCAGGAAUACAACAUAUCAAGGGGACAGCCACUACACAUCUGGCACAUGGAAAUUCUGCACGCCCCAUUGCCUGGCCCCAGUGGGUUAAAUGGUGCACGUGGCUGCAAAGUGUUUGAGCUGGCGCAUCUCUAAGCACCAUAAACAUGGGGGAGAACAGUUUCUAAAAUAGCAUCUUUCAUGUUCAUGAAAAAAUGUUCUCAUGUGCUCUGCUGGCUGAGACCACUGUUACGAAACAAAAUGCUUCCCAUCAGCAGUCAUAAGGGCUUGAGCCUCAGCUAGGGUGCUGCUUGAUACAAAAAGAGCAGUUAACGAGAGCAGAACAAGACCAGAAUAGAAAAGUCAGCAAAGUUGUUAUUUUCCUAAUUAAAAAAACGCAUCCUAAACCUCUAACUGUGCCAGAACACUCACACUCCUUCUGUUGGAUAGGAGCCCUGGCAGCACUUUCGUGCAGAUCUCAACCUCCAGCCCCCACGUGGGGACAGGAGUGACACACAGGGGACAAUCACAGAUGUCUCCAUGCAGCUAUG
Molecule: long non-coding RNA, 1182 nt
Organism: Lagopus leucura (white-tailed ptarmigan)
Lineage: Eukaryota; Metazoa; Chordata; Aves; Galliformes; Phasianidae
Exons: 3
Source: RefSeq, a predicted model, not a curated record